UGCUCAAAUUUGAAAUACAGUAGAUUAGUAGGGUGAGAUGACCCUUCUAAUCUACUCUACUUCAAAUUUGAGCCA
RNAcentral lists this microRNA precursor (75 nucleotides) under Haemonchus placei. Its description in RNAcentral is "mir-5928 microRNA precursor family". It matches the Rfam family "mir-5928 microRNA precursor family". The record is from Rfam by way of RNAcentral. Lineage: Eukaryota; Metazoa; Nematoda; Chromadorea; Rhabditida; Trichostrongylidae.